CCAAAAUAGCGGGUUUUUCAUUUCCAACGGACUUGGUUGAAGGCAGUUCAGUGCAAGUGCUUUGUGGCAUCACCUCUGGAGACAAGCCAGUUUAUUUUUCUUGGCUCAAAGACGGACAACACAUCCCGAGCAAUCUACAGGUGCAAGAAAAAUCAUUGGAUGAAUUCAGCUUCCUGAUAUUUUCCCACGUGACGUCAAAACACAGUGGGGAAUACACUUGUGUAGCCACCAACUCCGCCGCUGAAGUCAACCACACUGCCAGGUUAGCAGUUAAAGUGGCCCCUACGUGGGUGUACGAGCCGCAAGACGUGUCAGCUCUCCUGGGCACGCAGAUAUUGGCCAACUGUGCAACCAAAGGUUAUCCUGAACCUAGGAUUGCGUGGCUGAAGGCGCACGGGUCGGGGCCAGGCGACUUCCGGCCGGUGUCGACGCUCGAGCUGCAGUUCUCGGUGCUGGCAAACGGGUCGCUGCGCAUCGCGCCGGCCGCGCCGCCGCACGCCGGCCGCUACAUGUGCCGCGCC
Long non-coding RNA from Ostrinia nubilalis (European corn borer), 521 nucleotides. RefSeq lists it as uncharacterized. NCBI's taxonomy places the organism in Eukaryota, Metazoa, Arthropoda, Insecta, Lepidoptera, Crambidae. The transcript has 4 exons. The record is from RefSeq and is a predicted model, not a curated record.